RNAcentral lists this long non-coding RNA (5391 nucleotides) under Marmota monax (woodchuck). The record is from RNAcentral. Lineage: Eukaryota; Metazoa; Chordata; Mammalia; Rodentia; Sciuridae.
GGAGAUACCAGGGAUGGAACUCAGGGGCACUCAGCCACCAAGCCGCAUCCCCUGCCCUAUUUUUGUAUUUUAUUUAGAGACAGGGUCUCCCUGAGUUUCUUAGCUGAGGCUGAUGCUGGCUUUGAACUUGUGAUCCUCCUGCCUCAGCCUCCUGAGCAAGUGGGAUUACCAGCAUGCACCUAGCUAGUUAUGAAUUCUUUUAACUUGUUUUUAUUAUCAUGGAAGGUUUUUACUUUAUCAUCAAUCUGGAAGCUUAAUUUUGCUGAGUAUAUUAUUCUUGAGUGGCAUACAUUUUCUUUCAGAGCUUGGUAUGUAUUAUUCCAAGUCCUCCUAGCUUUGAGGGUCUGAGUUGAAAAAAAUCAGCUGAGAUCUGAAUUGGUUUCUGCCUAUGCAUAAUCUGAUAUUUUUAUUUUGAUAGCCUUUAGACUUCUAUACUUUAUUGUAUAUGUAGACAUUUUCUUAAUAAUGUGCCUUGGUAUGGGUCUGUUGUAAUUUUGUAUAUUUGGGGGUCCUUUAAGCCUCCUGGAUUUGAUUUUUUUUCAUUUCAUUCUUUAGGUUUGGGAAUUUUUCAGAUACUAUUUCAUUGAAAAGAUUGUGCAUUAUUUUGGUUUAUAUCUCCAAGUCUUCAUCUAUCCCAAUAAAUGUUAAAUUUGGUCUUUCUUGGUUAUCCCAUAUUUCUUGGAGUUCUGUUCAUGGCUCUUAAUAUUUUUUCUCUAUGGUCAGCUUUAUUUUCAUGAUUAUAUAUUUUUGUCUUCAUUGCCUGAGACUGUAUCUUCCAAGUGACCUUAGUCUGUUGGUGAUGCAUUCCAUUGAAUUUUUAAUUUGGUUUAUUGAUUCCUUCAUUUUGAGGAUUUCUGCUUUUUUUUCAGAAUCUUUUUAUUUAAUUGAUUUUUCACUUCCUGUAUUUUCUUUCUGAUUUCACUCCUUACGUUGUCCUUUACUUCAGAGAUCAGUUUGACUAUGUACAUUCUAAAUUUCUUCUCUGACAUUUCUUCCACUGUGGUAUCAUGGAUUCUGUUAUUCAAGUAUCUUGAUUUGUUUGCGGCAAUUUGUUCCCUUGCUUUUCCAUGUUGUUUGUGUGUCUACCCAUCUAACAGUAAGGAUCUGAGGUACUACAGUUUCUACCCUGUGGACUUGUAGUGUUCCUAAAUGUUCCUAGUACCUCACUGCUUAGGGGGAGACAAAUAAUAACAACAACCAACGCAAACAAUGUAUAGCAUCAAACCAAGUAGUUCCUGCUAUGACAUCUACAAUGCUAAUUGUCACAAUAAACAGAAAUCACACGAUCAUUUAUUACAGUAAAAACAGUAAGUUUGCAAAAAGGCUUACAAUUUUGAAUGGGUGGACUGAGACAGAACAGAACUGAUGUAGGAUGUGAUGAUUAUGAGGGAGGAGGAGAGAAGAUAGAAGUGACAAAUUAAAGGAAGAGUGAAAGAGAACAAUAGAGAUUUGCUGUUAGAAGAAGAAUCAAGGGAAGAGAUAAGUAAGAGAAUGUAUGUGUGUGUAAAAUAAAAAUAAAUGACUACAAAACUGAAAUAUACUAAUCAAAUAUACUAGUCCUAAAAAUACUGAUCCAUGAAAAAUAACUGUCUUCAAAAAUGCUAGAAUUGAGGAAAAAAUAAAUAAGGAUAUGUAUGACUGUAGAUGAACCAUUAGGGCCACAAUUAAACAGAGAAAAGAAAAAGGGAAAAAAAAAACUUCAUAAAAAGUUAAAGAAUCACAUCCAUUGGAGUUCAAAAGAUUCUCAGCUUUCCUUCUUGGCAGUGUUGGGUGGGUUUGCUGGGGUGAGAGAGGUUAUCCUGUAGGCAGGACUCCUGGAUGCAGGGUUUAGGCUUGGGUGGGUUCCAGGUUCUUCAAUGAAUGCCAUCUGGUCUGGAAACUUUAAAUCAGCACACCUCCAGGGCCCAGAAAUUUCUGGUCCACACUAGAAGACUGCACCCCAGGGAUCUCCCCUGGGUUCCACUUGUGUAGUGAGGAGCCAAUUCUUAGUCCACUAUGUUACUUGUGGACCCCGCAUUUCAUGGUCUCAAGUUUAGUCUCCAAACUCAAUCUCUCCUAUCUCCACCCUUUUGAAUUUCUACCUAGGCUUCUCUCCCAGCCAGUCCUGCAAGCAGCCAGGUCAGAAGAGGAGGGACAGCCAGAUGGGUUUCUGUGGCCAGUAGUCCCCUGUGUGAACCUCUGUUCACAUUUGAUUUUGUCCUGCUCAAUUAGGCACACUCUACGUCAUUCAUUGUGGGUUUGCCAGGCCUAUAUUUUGGGCCAAACUCAGGUUUGCUGGGAAUUGGCUCCCCAGCUGCAAGCCCUCAUGCUGUGGCUGCAAAAUGGAUUCUUCCUCUGUCCUCUGUAUACAUCCUGGAGAGAUGGUAGCUUCUUUCUCACACAAGGAUCUUGUGCAGCACACCUGUUAGUUUAAUGAGGCAGUGUCUUUCAUCUCUAAACUCUCUAUACCCAGAUGUGCUAAAAUGUGGGCUCCUUUAAUUCCCUUGUCUCUCCACUUCACUCAUGGAGGGACCAACCUGGUUGGUGAUUGAUCCCUCCAACCACCAGCAGCUGCUGUGGUGCCAGGGGAUUUCUUCCUUAUUGUAUUAUAUUCAACUUCCUGAGUUCCCAGUCUUCUUUGAAUGUCCAGUAUUAAAUUCCAGUAAAGUUCCCCCCUCACUUUUUUUUGUUCACCCACCUUGCUAAGAAGCUGCUUAUCUGCAUAUUUGGUUUCAUGCCACAGAGCACCAAGGAAAGCAACCUUCUCUAUUCUGCAAUCUUGAAACUACUCCUACAUUCUCCAAUUUUUUAGCAUAUAGGUUUUUAAAAUAAUCCCCAAUGAUCCUUUGAAUUUGUAUCAAUUGUAAUGUAUCCUUUUAAUUUCUUGAGUUUAAUGGAUAGUGCUAUGUGCAAACAUUGGAGAAACAAAACUGGUACUUUAGAGAAAGUAAAUCCAGGGUUAACAUGGACUUUUGGAGGGUCCAACGGUUGCCUCAUCUUUUCUGAGGUUUUCUUUUUUUUUUCUGUUUUAAAUUUGUUUGUUUUAAUUAGUUAGACAUAAUGGUAUAAUGCAUUUAUGCAUUUUGAUAUGUCAUACAUAGAUGGGAUAUAAUUUCUCACAGUCAUAUAUGUACAUAAGGUAAUAAUGUAUGUUUUAUUCUACUCUUCUUCCUAUCCCCAAGUCCUCUUUCCUCUACCCAAUCUAAAAUAACUUUAUUCUUCCCUAGCAAUUCUUUUUCCCCUGCCAUUUUGAAUUAGCAUCUACCUAUCUGAGAAAACAUUUGGCCUUUGUUAUUUUCGGGGGUGGGGGUGGGAAUUGGCUUAUUUUGCUUAGCAUGAUAUUCUCCACUCCAUCCAUUUACUGACAAAUGCCAUAAUUUCAUUUUUCUUUAAAGCUGAGUAAUAUUCAUCAAAUAUAUUUAUAUACAACAUUUUCUUUAUCUAUUCAUCUACUGAAGAGCACCUAGGUUGAUUCUGUAGUUUAGCUAUUGUGAAUUGAGCUGCUAUAAGCGUUGAUAUGAAUGUGCCACUAUAUUAUGCUGAUUUUAAGUCCUUUGGGUAUAUACCAAAGAGUGGGAUAGCUGGGUCAAAUGGUGGUUCCAUUCCAAAUUUUCUGAGGAAUCUCCAUAUUGCUUUCCAUAGUGGUUGCACCAAUUUGCAUUCCCACCAGCAAUGUAUGAGUUUAUCUUUUCCCCCACAUUCUUGCCAACACUUAUUGUUGCCUAUAUCCUUGACUCUCAUUCUGACUGGGAUGAGAUAAAAUCUUAGAGUAGUUUUAAUUUGCAUUUCUCUAAAUGCUAGAUACGUUGAACAUUUUUUCACAUAUUUGUUGAUUGAUUGUAUUUCUUCUUGUAAAGUGUCUGUUCAGUUCUAAGGUGUUAGAUAUUCAACUUAUAAAGUAUUUGCUCUCCAACUCAUCACAGAGUAUACAGGAUAAUGUGAAUUUUGAAAAAAAAAAAUACUGGUGUGGUGAGUGCUGUAGCUUAUUCUCACUAUCCACCCUGCGGUAAAGCUUCAGGGUCUUAUCUUGAGUUAUAUCUUAUCUUACAGCUUAAGGUAGUCCUCUGGACUCCUGGAAUUGUUGGAGGCUUUAAGUUAAAGCCAACUAGGAAAAUGCUUUUCCAGAAGCAGAUAAUUUAAGACAUGCACAGUAGACAGCUUUCCGUUAGAUGUCACAACAGUACUAUUAUAAUGAGGCUCGUACCCCUCCUAAUUUUUCCUUGUGGCCACCUUUUUCACUUGGCAGAAAUAUUCAAGUAAUUAAAAUUCUAGAUACUUGUUCUCAUCCCCUGAAACAGUUCCACCCAGUUAUGGGGUGCGAGAUUGCUUAACUGUAUAUUUGAAUAAAAUGGGUAGACCUCCCACCUGGCUUAUUCUUUAAUCAUCUGACUUGUUUGAUUUACAAAGACCCUGGCUUAGAAACAUGGCCUAAAUCCUUGGUAUCAUCCUCCUAGUAGUCACACUGUCAGUCUCCCUGGGGCACUCCAUCCUCUCAAAGUCUUAAAUGUGUAUGGACAGCUAUCUGCUGGAUGUUAACUGGGCUCUCUUGGCUGGGAUGACCAUGACUCAAACACUUGAUCAUGAGGACCCCUUAAUCUACGGAUGGUGGUGACUGAACGUGGUGCUGAUGUCUUAUGUUUUGAUCAGAUUCUUGCCUGUGGAAGCAUGACCAAUACGGAGAAAUUGUUAAACAAGGUCAAUGGGAAAUCAUGGAUUUGGACUGGGCUUUUUGGGUUUGGCCCAGAAAUUUAAACUUUCAUCAUAGUAACUGAGCUUUGGAUGGUUGCCAGAGGAUCUGUAGCCAGUUAACUGAUUAGGCUGUAAACAGCUAGUUACAUUUAACUGAAACUACGUUGAACAUUUUUGGUUUUGCUGUUUGUUUACCCCCCACAUCUGUUUUUCUCUAAGUACUGUCUGAAAACAUUGUUGAGAGUUCUUAGAACCUGCCCUGGUUCUGUAUGCUGUCAUAUUUGUGAAUUGUUUGUGUUUUUGCUUUAGUAAAAUACACUCCACUGAGCUUAAUUGAUCUGGGGAUUUUUCUUUCUAAUUGGAUUGGAAGUCCACCAUUGGCUGCUAGCAUAUGAGAUGACCUUGUCUCUUGGAACACAGAGCCCCAGAAUUCAGCAAGCUGCUGCUUUGUGUUUUCCUAUGAGGACAGAGAUGACUCCAGUCCUAUCUUUUCUCAUGUUGCAUUUGUGUUGUGAACUGAGAAGACUACAUGGGAAAUUGUCUGUUGGUUAAUUAAAACUAAUAAAGAAGCCCUGUUACAGAGAACAAUUAGCUUCCUUCACUUAUGGUUUUCCACCAAUCAUCAAAUUUGUUAACUUAAUAAUAUGAUUUUUCUGCAUUACAGAGGAAAUAAGAUGGCUUGGAUCAUUCACAGAGGAGCCUAAUUUUGAAUUCAGUUAUGGC